GACGAACGCUGGCGGCGUGCCUAAUACAUGCAAGUAGAACGCUGAAGGAGGAGCUUGCUUCUCUGGAUGAGUUGCGAACGGGUGAGUAACGCGUAGGUAACCUGCCUGGUAGCGGGGGAUAACUAUUGGAAACGAUAGCUAAUACCGCAUAAGAGUAGAUGUUGCAUGACAUUUGCUUAAAAGGUGCAAUUGCAUCACUACCAGAUGGACCUGCGUUGUAUUAGCUAGUUGGUGGGGUAACGGCUUACCAAGGCGACGAUACAUAGCCGACCUGAGAGGGUGAUCGGCCACACUGGGACUGAGACACGGCCCAGACUCUUACGGGAGGCAGCAGUAGGGAAUCUUCGGCAAUGGACGGAAGUCUGACCGAGCAACGCCGCGUGAGUGAAGAAGGUUUUCGGAUCGUAAAGCUCUGUUGUAAGAGAAGAACGAGUGUGAGAGUGGAAAGUUCACACUGUGACGGUAUCUUACCAGAAAGGGACGGCUAACUACGUG
Molecule: ribosomal RNA, 495 nt
Filed under: uncultured bacterium
Lineage: Bacteria
Description: partial 16S ribosomal RNA
Rfam family: Bacterial small subunit ribosomal RNA
Source: RNAcentral